UGACUAUGUCCUUGAAAAUGUAGGUGG
Molecule: non-coding RNA, 27 nt
Filed under: Rattus norvegicus (Norway rat)
Lineage: Eukaryota; Metazoa; Chordata; Mammalia; Rodentia; Muridae
Source: RNAcentral